Molecule: ribosomal RNA, 363 nt
Filed under: uncultured bacterium
Lineage: Bacteria
Description: bacterial SSU rRNA
Rfam family: Bacterial small subunit ribosomal RNA
Source: RNAcentral
AGCGAACGCUGGCGGCAGGCUUAACACAUGCAAGUCGAGCGCCGUAGCAAUACGGAGCGGCAGACGGGUGAGUAACGCGUGGGAACGUACCUUUUGGUUCGGAACAACACAGGGAAACUUGUGCUAAUACCGAAUAAGCCCUUACGGGAAAGAUUUAUCGCCGAAAGAUCGGCCCGCGUCUGAUUAGCUUGUUGGUGAGGUAACGGCUCACCAAGGCGACGAUCAGUAGCUGGUCUGAGAGGAUGAUCAGCCACAUUGGGACUGAGACACGGCCCAAACUCCUACGGGAGGCAGCAGUGGGGAAUAUUGGACAAUGGGCGGCAAGCCUGAUCCAGCCAUGCCGCGUGAGUGAUGAAGGCCCUA